This 447-nucleotide ribosomal RNA is filed under the name Vibrio splendidus ZF-90. RNAcentral's name for it is "bacterial SSU rRNA". It matches the Rfam family "Bacterial small subunit ribosomal RNA", at positions 1009 to 1454 of the family's 1533-position model. The record is from RNAcentral. Lineage: Bacteria; Pseudomonadati; Pseudomonadota; Gammaproteobacteria; Vibrionales; Vibrionaceae.
CAGGUGUGCCUUCGGGAACUCUGAGACAGGUGCUGCAUGGCUGUCGUCAGCUCGUGUUGUGAAAUGUUGGGUUAAGUCCCGCAACGAGCGCAACCCUUAUCCUUGUUUGCCAGCGAGUAAUGUCGGGAACUCCAGGGAGACUGCCGGUGAUAAACCGGAGGAAGGUGGGGACGACGUCAAGUCAUCAUGGCCCUUACGAGUAGGGCUACACACGUGCUACAAUGGCGCAUACAGAGGGCAGCAAGCUAGCGAUAGUGAGCGAAUCCCAAAAAGUGCGUCGUAGUCCGGAUUGGAGUCUGCAACUCGACUCCAUGAAGUCGGAAUCGCUAGUAAUCGUGAAUCAGAAUGUCACGGUGAAUACGUUCCCGGGCCUUGUCACACCGCCCGUCACACCAUGGGAGUGGGCUGCAAAAGAAGUGGGUAGUUUAACCUUUCGGGGAGGACGCU